Hevea brasiliensis (rubber tree) is the source of this 2567-nucleotide RNA transcript. RefSeq lists it as uncharacterized. The transcript has 11 exons. The record is from RefSeq and is a predicted model, not a curated record. NCBI's taxonomy places the organism in Eukaryota, Viridiplantae, Streptophyta, Magnoliopsida, Malpighiales, Euphorbiaceae.
UGUAUUCAGCCCUGCAAAACAAAUAUCAACUUCAACUACAUACUUCCAUAAACCAUGUGACAGUAUGAUCUUUUUCUUUCUCUGCGUUCCUGUCAGUGCCCAUUGAUAAAUUAAUCGCAGAGGUGAAAUGGAGUGCUGUUAUUCCUUCAAACUACCAUCUCCAUACCCUUCUUUAAUCCUUAACCUUCAGGUGUGAUAGUAAGCGAGUGUCUGCGUGUUUCUCUCCUACCAUAUUCUUUUUCUUGAUCACUGGUGGUUGAUACGUCUGGUUCUUCAUCACCUGUUGGUAGCAGAUUUUCCAAAAACUCUAUUCAUCCUCAUUUGCUAUCCUCUCCACUUCCUAAACCAUUUCUUCAGAGUAAUGAUUGACUACAGUAUCAACAAAAAUAGCUUUUUUCACUUUGAAGACAUAUAGAGGCUCCAUGUUAGCAGAAGCUGGAAGGCAAGGUUGGGACUUUGGCAGGUUUUUUAAAACAUUAUAUUUCUUCAAUGGACCUCCAUCCCCUGCUAAGGUUUGACAUAGUUUUGGUUGGAAUUUUUAUCUCAUCAUAUCAGCUAAUCUUUUAAAUUUUCAACUGGAACUUACUAUCUGUUAAGUUCUUUGAGUUUCUAGUUGAAAAACUAUCCAGUCAAUCAUCUAGUGAGCCAAAAAGCGUGAUGGACAGUCCUGGCAUUGUCCUGGUAGUUGGAGCUACUGGUGGUUUUGGCAAAAGUGUAGUUGACAUCUUAAAGAAGAAAGGACAGCAAGUCCGAGUACUUGCAUGUGCUCUUGCCGAAAAAUUUAUAUGUAGAAAGGAGAAGAGUCUGCUCACUUUUUCUUCCUCUUAUUUUUGUUUCAUAUCAAAAAUUUCUCAGGUCAGAAAUGAAGAGAAGGCAAGAAUGAUGUUGGGCUCAGAUAUUGACUUGGUGAGCUGGCAGCCGUUGUAAAUUAGCAUGAUAGUUGAAGAUAUCACUAAGGAAGACACAUUGGUCCCUGAGUACUUCAAAGGGGUGAGGAAAGUUAUUAAUGCUGCUUCUGUUAUUGUUGGUCCCAAGGAAGGUGAUACUCCAGAAAGGGCGAAAUACAGCCAAGGAAUCAAAUUCUUUGAACCAGAGCAUCAAAUAUUUUCGUUGUCGAUAUGUGGGGCUUUGUUUGAUUUAUGAAAGCAGAUUAGAGGGGAUUCACCUGAAAUGGUGGAGUAUGUUGGGAUGAAGAAUUUGAUUAACGCUGUAAAGGGGAAUGUUGGACUUUGAAGUGGGAAAUUGCUAUUUGAAUGUGAAGAAUUUUUCAACGCCUGAGGACCUUUCUGCAUAUGAUGGUUUGGAACUACGCCUUAAAGGUGAUGAUUGUUGGUAUAAACUUAUUGUUCGUACUAGCCGUGAUUGGGACGCUGUUGGUUAUACAGCAAGCUUCGACACUGUUGAAUGAUGGCAAUCAAAUACAAACUCACAUGGAGAUCAUGAUCUAGCUGAUUGCUGUUUUCCGACAAUAUUUGGUUGGAUGAAUUUAUUCAGUUCUUUGUUGGCUAUUGACAUCCCGUUGCUGCUGAAUUUAUGUGUGCUUAUGUAUGGUGAGGGAUGGCUAUGAAUGAUCCAAAUUCAGGCUGACUGAGCUAAUAGACUUGGAAGUAGGAAAGUGAUUUUGCAUCUAUCAUCAACACCUCAGGCCACAGCAAGUCCAGCGAAAAUAAUUUCCCUCUUUAUUUCAACCAUCUGGCUAGAAUUUGAAACUUCAGUGUUUGGAACUAUCUCAAAUUUUUUUGGAAACUUAUUAGCUUUAGCCUUUAUGACAGGGAGAAGACUUGAUACGUGAAAGUGGCAUGCCAUAUGCAAUUGUAAGGCCUUGUGUAUUAACUGAGGAGCCUGCUGGUGCAGAUCUCAUUUUUGACCAAGGAGACAAUAUAACGGUGGUUCAGCUGAAUAUUCUUUGUUGGCUGGGAGGGAGUUGCACUCUGAAAUUCAUUGAGGACAAGUGAUUGGUGUUGCCUCUGUUAUCUUUAACCAUUUUUGUGAGUAAAAUAUCAAGGGAAGAGGUUGCUCGGAUUUGUGUUGCUGCUAUGGAAAGCCUGUAUGCAUAGCACAAGACAUUUGAGGUUAAAAGUGUGAUUCCUUUCAGUGAACCAUUUAAAGUGGUUACAGGGAAUAUUUUAAAACUUUGAAAAAUGGUAUUACAGGGAAAGAAUACCUAAAACGAAGUCCUGUUCCAGUCUAAUUCCCAUAGACAAAAGGAUUCAACAAAAAGAAGCAGAACUACUGCCUAAUAUUCCAAAUAAGGACAUCCUUACCAGGAAAUAACAAAGAACAUAAUAUAUUAUCAUACCCCUACAAUUACAAAAUGAUGAAGCAGAGGUUUCUUGGGAAUCAUUAGGCGGGCUAGCAAGAAAAGAGAUACCAAGAAAGUUGAAACAGUUAGGGAUUAAUGUUGGAGUGAGUGUGUAGAAAAAUCUUGUCUUCAUAAACUAUUCAGGAAAAUAACCACACAAAAGCACAUCUUUUGUAUAUUCCAGGCUGUAUAUAAACCAAAUUUCUUGUCUCAUUUCAUCCGAUAAUUUGAAAUCGUGAAUGUAUCAUCUCAAUUCCAUGAAUUA